UUUGUACUUCAUUAGGUGCUC
This 21-nucleotide microRNA is filed under the name Parasteatoda tepidariorum (common house spider). RNAcentral describes it as "pte-miR-305-5p". Its record names the gene pte-miR-305-5p. Lineage: Eukaryota; Metazoa; Arthropoda; Arachnida; Araneae; Theridiidae. The record is from miRBase by way of RNAcentral.